AAUCAACGCUGGCGGCGUGCCUCAGACAUGCAAGUCGAACGCGAAAGUCCCCUUCGGGGGAUGAUUAGAGUGGCGCACGGGUGAGUAACACGUAGGUAAUCUACCUUCGAGUGGGGAAUAACUCAGGGAAACUUGAGCUAAUACCGCAUAAUGCAGCGGCACCACAUGGUGACAGUUGUUAAAGCAUUUAUGCGCUUGAAGAGGAGCCUGCGGCGGAUAGCUAGUUGGUAAGGUAAUGCUUACCAAGGCUACGAUCUGUAACCGGCCUGAGAGGGCGGACGGUCACACUGACACUGAA
Molecule: ribosomal RNA, 298 nt
Filed under: uncultured bacterium
Lineage: Bacteria
Description: partial 16S ribosomal RNA
Rfam family: Bacterial small subunit ribosomal RNA
Source: RNAcentral